Molecule: transfer RNA, 90 nt
Filed under: Pestalotiopsis fici W106-1
Lineage: Eukaryota; Fungi; Ascomycota; Sordariomycetes; Amphisphaeriales; Sporocadaceae
Rfam family: tRNA
About the family: Transfer RNA (tRNA) molecules are approximately 80 nucleotides in length. Their secondary structure includes four short double-helical elements and three loops (D, anti-codon, and T loops).
Source: Rfam by way of RNAcentral
UCCGGAGUGGCGCAAUGGCUCAGCGCAUUGGACUUUUACCAAGGUGAAUCUAAAAUCCAAGGGUUCGGGGUUCGAGUCCCCGCUUCGGAG